GUGAUAGUCUGAGCGUACUUUGAACACUGCUUCACUCUGAAGCUUUAGCGCCUUCAAGCCUUGCUCCUCAAAGCUGGUCUGUGGAUCAGGGUCACCAGGGAACUUUUAGGAAUGCAGAGUCCCAGGCCCCACCUUAACCUGCUCAGUUUAUGUUUUAACAAGAUUCCAGGUGAUUCAUAUAAACAACAAAGUAUGAAGACCAUUGGUCUAGAGCAGUGGUUCACAAAAAAGAUGGUUCCUGGACCAGCAACAUCAGCAUUACCUGAAAAAUUGUUAGAAAAUGCAGAUUCUCAGGCCCCACCUCAGACCUACGGAAUCAGAAACUCUGGGAUGGACCCCAGCAGUACGUGUUUUAGUUGGUGCUGUAGGCAGAGACAUUUGUUUGGGUGAACAAUGCAUCUGCACAUUCCCAGAGUGUUGCCAAGGCCAAAUAUGAAUUUUUGUUUGGCAGACCUGAAGGGAAAACUCCAGAUACUAUGCAAAGAAGAAGUUGAAUAAUUCUGAAUAACAGAUAGAAUGUGUUGGCUGAAUGUUGAGCGUCUGCUUUAGGUAGACGCCUCACCAUACACACAGAAUUCCUGGAGAGCAAGACACAAAAAAAGUAGCAUGGCAGCUCAGCCCCUACUCAUGCCUAUUCAGAUCUUUGCAUCUCACUGCAGGACCUAGGAAACCUAUGAGUUAUUGCUUUAGGAAAAAUGUGGGCUGGAAUAGAAAACCACAAAUAAACAAAGGAAGAAAUGACAAAUCUUCUAA
Molecule: small RNA, 753 nt
Filed under: Pongo abelii (Sumatran orangutan)
Lineage: Eukaryota; Metazoa; Chordata; Mammalia; Primates; Hominidae
Description: processed transcript
Source: RNAcentral